RNAcentral lists this unclassified non-coding RNA (240 nucleotides) under soil metagenome. Its description in RNAcentral is "partial contains 5.8S ribosomal RNA, internal transcribed spacer 2, and large subunit ribosomal RNA". The record is from RNAcentral.
AACGCACGAGACCUGCGGACCUGCGGAGGGAUCAUUAAAAAGAUCGACCCAACAUAUGGACGAUCAAAUCCAUAUCCACCUUGUGUGCACUUAUUGACCGUUCGCUUUGGCAGGAGUUGUCUUCGAUCCGGCCCAACCCCUAAAAUUUAUUAGGGAGGGGGAGGGAUCGAAGCGGCGAGGGGGAAUAGUCCACCUCGGCCUGCCAGAGUUUUUCCCUUUAAAAGGGAAAAGAAAUAUCCA